Molecule: long non-coding RNA, 1939 nt
Organism: Triticum dicoccoides
Lineage: Eukaryota; Viridiplantae; Streptophyta; Magnoliopsida; Poales; Poaceae
Exons: 4
Source: RefSeq, a predicted model, not a curated record
AGGAAUAACAUUAUGGUGUUCCAAAUAUGCAGCGACAUGACUAAAGGUCAAAUUUCUAAAGUGUUUGUCAUGCUUGCAGAAACAACAUAGAUCUUUUCACAUUUUCUGGAUUUAUUCAUGCCCGUGGAGUUUUUGUGCCCAUCAUAUGUAGAUCUUUUAUUGGUAAGUUUGGAUGUUGUAGACUGAUCCGCUUUGGUAAGUCAUGUUUGCCUGCAGGGUGAUGACGUUUAUGCAUCUAGGGAACCAUGGAGAUUUUACCAUGUGAUAUUUCCUCAAGCAAACUAAGUUAUUUUGCAAUUUGCUGCUCAAGUUGUGGCUCUUCUGCAGGUAUGUCAUUGUGGUCCUUUCCACUAUAUUUAUUUGACGUAUAUGCUUCCAGACAAUAACUUAGGUUUUGUACUACAUGGUAAAUGAAAUGAAAUUUCUAAUAUGCUAGAACGUACAAUGGUAAUUGUUAGUUUCAUUAGUAUUUCUCGGCAAACCCUUGUUCUUUCUUGGUCUGCUGAAAAUAAUUGUUAUCAGUUUUUCUUUACAUUGUCUAUAGAGAAAGUGAUGUUUUUAAGAGAUAUUUCUGUAACAUGAGCAAUGGUGCUUACUUCUUAUAUCCCAUAUAUUGUUGAAUUAUGUGCUUAUGAGGAAAAACGGUCAUGGCGGUCCUGCACAAGUGGAUGAAUGACUGGAAGGGGCGGCACCACGACGGUUAAGGUGGUUUAUACCCAGCCAGGGAGGACGACCCCCUGCAAUGGGCACGGAAAAAUGUUGCAGCAGCGAACGAGGAGGCGGAGAUGCGCAAAGCAGAGUAGGAAAAACGUGCUCUGGUCCUCCUCCAAGCCCGUCGGUGACUCCCUAACAUGGUACGAGAUUGUUACCCCCUGCCGCGUCAUCAUUACUUGAAGUACAAGGAACCUGACAACAGUAUGUAACCAAUCACGAGGACUAGGAUGUUGAGGAAGAUGGUGAAUGGGCAGCUCCAACCAUAUGCAAAAGGAACAAUUUCAAAUCCUAAGUGCAAGGACCAUGUACGCAAAAGGUAUAACUGCAAUUGUACGACUAGAAUGGUAACUGUUCUAGACAAGCGAACACAAACAUUGUUGAAGUUGCACGUAUGUGUAAAUUUUUGUGUUGGGAAAACAUUCAGAUUGGAGGUGAACGAGGAUGACUCAAGCAUUACAAAGAACAGUUGGUAAACAAUGUACCGGUAUCAGCUGACCUUAUGUAUAUUGCGGUGUCAGUGCCAUACUUCUGUACAUAAAACGAUGGAACCGGCAUCAAUCACGUGAACGGGCAUGUUGAUUUAGUUUUCCUGUCUACGUGCCUUGAGCAUUUCUUCCUCUAUACCAGGCAAUGAUUGAGGAUUCACGGAUAUAUUGAGAUCAACUUUUCGAUGCAAUUUGGAUGAUCAAAUCACACCACUAUCUGAGCAUAUAUAAGAUGUUCGCAUAAUGAUUGUGAAAAUGCAGGCUACAUUUUUAAAUGUUCAUAAGGUUUGUGAACAUACAAUUUACUACAUGAAGGAUGUGCCUGGCUUCCAUGUUGAAGUAGUAGGACUAUUUCCACAUAUGCGAGAGAAGAACUAUGAUCGGAGGUACUAUGUAUGCUUGAUCCAAUUUAGACAUCAACAAUUAUGUAUCUAAAAGCUGGAGUGCUCCUUGAACAUUGUACUGUAUAUAUGAUUGAAAUGAGUUGCAUGUUGUCGGUGACGGCGAGUUGAACCAAUGGAAGUGGUUGUAAUGGUAAGAUAGAGAAGAUGGCCGUGGGAGAAAAAGAGGACGGCAGUAAUGGUAAAGAAGAGAAGAUCAUUGAUGUAAAAGGAGGACAUGUGUUGGACCUAGCAUGUCUAAAUACAAGCAUGUGGUCAUAAGUAUUUUCUUUUCCUUACAAACGAGAGUUGGUUAUUUGGCUUCACAACCUCCAUAUUUCAAUUUGGCAUGCAACGACA